This is a long non-coding RNA of Thunnus maccoyii (southern bluefin tuna), 579 nucleotides long. RefSeq lists it as uncharacterized. The record is from RefSeq and is a predicted model, not a curated record. Lineage: Eukaryota; Metazoa; Chordata; Actinopteri; Scombriformes; Scombridae. The transcript has 3 exons.
CUGCAGGGAGCCAAAAAAAAGGUCCUGUUAAUGUAUUCCAACGUAGACAUGCACCCAAAGGAAGCCUGAGAUAACUAUGCAGGGUUUAUUAGGUCCAGAGGGGAAAUCCGUGCCUAUUUUAUAAGGCUUGUGUUGCAUUCGCUUCCAGCCUCCCAACUUCUCUUUGGAGGUGCAGUGUCUAAAUGAAACUCAAAUAUUUGCUCAAAGUUGUGCACGAGAUGGGACUUGAGCUGCACAGCACAGCAAUGUGUAGGAGACGACCCCUUCACCCUGCAGGAUGCCCUAACCCACUACCACUAGAUGCUUCUGAUGUCACAUGCGACAUCAGACAGUACUGCUCCUCUAAGACAAAUAAAAAAUGUUCCCAUGCACAGAUCAAGGACCCAGGAUUACAACCGCCUGAAUAGAAUAUGACAGCCAGUCAGCAAAAUGACAUCAACUGGGAAGAAGCAGAACAUACAGUUAAAUAACUAAGUCCCUCUGGUGGCUGAUCACAAACAUUGACUCCAUGAGCCUGAGUUUGAGUUCAGCUCAGUUGGAAAGAGGUUUGACAGAGCAGAUAUCCUGCUUUCUAAAAGA